This is a non-coding RNA of Acanthosepion pharaonis, 112 nucleotides long. Lineage: Eukaryota; Metazoa; Mollusca; Cephalopoda; Sepiida; Sepiidae. The record is from the annotation of a GenBank genome assembly.
AUGGCCAAAUCAUGUUGAAAAACUGGUUCUCAUAUGAUCACCAAAGUUGAGCAACUUUGAGCUUGGUUAGUUCUUAGAUGGGUGACCAGUUGGGAAUACCAGGUACUGUAAG